UUGUGGUUAAAAAGCUCGUAGUUGGAUCUCAACAGCCUUGNAAGCGGUUAACUUUGUAGUUUUACUGCUUUAUAGGCUGUGCUUUUGCUGGAGGUUUAGGGGUGCUCUUGAUCGAGUGUCUCUGGAUGCCAGCAGGUUUACUUUGAAAAAAUUAGAGUGCUCAAAGCAGGCUAAAAUGCCUGAAUAUUCGUGCAUGGAAUAAUAGAAUAGGAUGUCGAUCCUAUUUUGUUGGUUUUCGGGACUCGACAUAAUGAUAAAUAGGGACAGUCGGGGGCAUUUGUAUUCAAACGACAGAGGUGAAAUUCUUGGACCGUUUGAAGACAAACUACUGCGAAAGCAUUUGCCAAGAAUGUUUUCAUUAAUCAAGAACGAAAGUUAGAGGUUCGAAGGCGAUUAGAUACCGCCCUAGUUCUAACCAUAAACGAUGCCAGCUAGCGAUCUGCCUGCGUUUUUACUGUAGACUGGGCAGGAAGCUUCCGGGAAACCAAAGCAUUUGGGUUCCAGGGGAAGUAUGGUUGCAAAGCUGAAACUUAAAGGAAUUGACGGAAGGGCACCACCAGGAGUGGAGCCUGUGGCUUAAUUUGACUCAACACGGGAAAUCUCACCAGGCCCGGGACACUG
RNAcentral lists this ribosomal RNA (621 nucleotides) under uncultured eukaryote. Its description in RNAcentral is "SSU rRNA". It matches the Rfam family "Eukaryotic small subunit ribosomal RNA", at positions 613 to 1233 of the family's 1831-position model. The record is from RNAcentral.